AGAGAAUCAAGGUCCAGAUUAUUUGAGAUAUGACUAAAUUCUAUUUGCUCAAAAAAAAAAACAUCUAAUAUUAUGUAACUAUAUCAACAACCCUCAAUGGGAGAAUGAGAAGAAUCUCCAACAAGAACAGUUACAAAAAUUUAAUAAAAGAAGCAAAUAAAUCCCUAAUACAUAAAAGAUAAAAAUAUAUGUUUUUAUUGAUGAAAAUCCACUGCAUUUGUCCAGUGCCCACCCUCCAAUUUGCAGAAAAAAAGAUAUAAUAAAAGUUACAUUUAAUGACAUGGGAUAGUAAUCAUUUCACAUAGUAAUGCAUACAUAGGAAAGGUUUUUAGAACAUUUUUCCAAACUCUUCAGACACUAAUGGAGUCUUGGUAACUAUUUUAUAAUAAUAGUGUUAGGAAUAUUAACAAAAUAGAACGAGAUUUGUGAAAGACAAAUAUCAUUUCUUUUUCACCACUCUGUGGGUAGUUCCGGACCUAACCCUGAGAAGGCACCACAAGAAUGCACAAUCCUAUUUCCAGAAGCCUAAGGGGUUUCCAUUAUCUAGAUGAUCAUUGCAGAAAAAUAACCUGGUAUCCUGCAGCAAGGCGCAUGAAGGAAGACAUUGGCUCAAAGGCAAAGAAAAAAGAAAAACAAUGAAUAGAAUGACAAGAUUAUCUUGUCAAACAAAUCCAACUGCAUGUCUUUAAAACAUAUUAAGAAUUGAAUAUUUUAUUAAAUCCAUGUAGGAUAAAGGCCAGAGUUUAAUGAAGAUUCCAAUAAGCAAAAUGUGGAAAUGUCAUUAAGAGUAGAUUCUCAUUAUUGUUGCAGGGCUAUAUGGAUCCUGAAUAUUUCAUGACCCAGCAG
This 846-nucleotide unclassified non-coding RNA is filed under the name Hevea brasiliensis (rubber tree). The record is from RNAcentral. Lineage: Eukaryota; Viridiplantae; Streptophyta; Magnoliopsida; Malpighiales; Euphorbiaceae.